Molecule: long non-coding RNA, 566 nt
Organism: Thalassophryne amazonica
Lineage: Eukaryota; Metazoa; Chordata; Actinopteri; Batrachoidiformes; Batrachoididae
Exons: 3
Source: RefSeq, a predicted model, not a curated record
AAUACAUUCAGCUCACAUUAAGUUUGGUCACAGUAAUGUUGACAUGUUUGAAUAAAACAAACCACAGCUGUAUGUUUGUUUGCGCCUAUGUGGACAUAAAAUGUGGGGAAACUGCUUUCAAAUUUUCACUUUGUUCUUUAGUUUUACUUUUUCUGCUAGUUUGACUGUAAAAUGCAAAAAUGGAAGCACUUAAACAUUUUACACAAACACAUCUAUAUAUACACUUUUAUUCCUGUCAAUAAAUACAGCACUAUUACUAUCACUGUUACACUGUUUACAUCAUCUUGAUUUGCUGCCAUUUCUGCUGCCAACAGGUGUGUGUAGACUUGUGGCAGAGCUUGUCACAGCAAUCUCCAAAAUUAUGUUGUUCACUUUCUGUCCAAUACACUUUUCAGCUUUACAAUGCAAAUUGUAAGUUUUUUUGUACAGCCCACAAUUCCAAGGAUCUAAUUCUCCAGAAAUAUGAAGUUGUGCUGAUUGAAUAGUGUUAUGUCGAGCCUUAAUAUGUCAUUUUUCAUUCUUUCAUACAACCCCGUGAAUGUCACCAGCAAGACUCUUGUAAAAUG